CCUACGGGAGGCAGCAGUGAGGAAUAUUGGUCAAUGGGCGCGAGCCUGACCCAGCCAAGUAGCGUGAAGGAUGACUGCCCUACGGGUUGUAACCUUCUUUUAUAAAGGAAUAAAGUGAGGCACGUGUGCCUUUUUAUAUGUCCUUUAUGACUAAGGAUAGGCUAACUCCGUGCCAGCAGCCGCAGUAAUACGUAGUAUCCGAGCGUUAUCCGGAUUUAUUGGGUUUAAAGGGCGCGUAGAUGGGUUGUUAAGUCAGUUGUGAAAGUUUGCGGCUUAACCGUAAAAUUGCAAUUGAUACUGGCAGCCUUGAGUACAGUUGAGGUAGGCGGAAUUCGUGGUGUAGCGGUGAAAUGCUUAGAUAUCACGAAGAACUCCGAUUGCGAAGGCAGCCUACUAAACUGCAACUGACAUUGAUGCUCGAAAGUGUGGGUAUCAAACAGGAUUAGAUACCCGAGUAGUC
Molecule: ribosomal RNA, 460 nt
Filed under: uncultured bacterium
Lineage: Bacteria
Description: partial 16S ribosomal RNA
Rfam family: Bacterial small subunit ribosomal RNA
Source: RNAcentral